This 25866-nucleotide long non-coding RNA is filed under the name Lathyrus oleraceus (garden pea). Its description in RNAcentral is "Pisum sativum (pea) long non-coding RNA (PSAT_LNC020327)". The record is from RNAcentral. Lineage: Eukaryota; Viridiplantae; Streptophyta; Magnoliopsida; Fabales; Fabaceae.
UGGAGAGAGACGUUGUGAUUGUUGAUGUGUCUGUUGUGUGUGAGUUCCUUGAUAUUUUUCUUGAGGAUAUUAGUGAUCUACAACCAGAGUAUGAAGUGGAGUUUGCCAUAAAUUUAGUACGUGGUAUUGGACCUGUGUCAAUGGCACCGUACAAAAUAUUUGCACCAGAGUUGGGCAAGUUGAAGAAACAACUAGAAGAUUUGUUAGAGAAGAAGUUUAUCAGACCUAGUGUGUCGCAUUGGGAAGCGCUAGUGUUAUUGGUUAAAAAGAAAGAUGGGAGCAUGAGGUUAUGAGUGGAAUAUCAGAAGUUAAAUAAAGUCACUAUCAAGAAUAAGUACACUUUUCCCAGAAUUGAUGACCUUAUGAAUCAGUUUCCUGAUCCAUCCCAUGUGAUCCAAUUAGAUGAUGUGCAAGUGAGAGAUGACUUGACUGUGGAGGCAUCACCCUUGCAUAUUAAGGAUCGAGUAGUGAAGCACUUGAGUGGUAAAGAGAUUUCUUUGGUUAAGGUGGUGUGGGAGAGGACCUGCUAGAGAAAACGUGACGUGGGAGCUGGAGAGCCUGAUGAUAGAGUCUUAUGCAGAGUUGUUCCCUUCAGGUAUUUUUCGAGGGAGAGAGCUCUAUAGGUGGGGGAAAAUGUAACACCCCGAUUUUUUAUUAUUUUUUUUUAAUUGAGUUUAUGAGUGUUUUUGGCCAAUUUAAUUAUUUUAUUGAAGUUAUUAAAUUUUGUAUAGUUUUUUAUUAUAUUUAAAUUUGUGUAGAACUGAGAAAUAAUAAUUUUAUAUUAAAAUUAAAAAUUAAUUAUAUAUUUUUUAAUUUAAUUAGUUAGGAAACUAAGAGAAAUUGAGACUUUAGGGAUAAAAAUAGACUUUAAAUAAAAUAACCGAGAUGUGUUGAAUUAGUAAGAGUUGAGGGAAGUUGUAGAAUUAAUUAAAAUAGAAAUACAAAUAGGAUUUUUAUUUCAAUAGAGAAGGGAAGGAAGAAAGAUGUUAGUACGUAGAAUUUUGGGAGAAAAUGUUAAGGAGCGAAAGAGGCAACCCUGUGAGAGCUUUUGAAGGAGAAGAGAAACCCCAUUGUCGUAGCUUCAACAUUUAUGCGAAUUCCAGGUAACGGGGAACUAUUCAUGAUAUAGGUGUUUAGACAUGAAGGAUAGAAAUGAUCUCUUAUCCUCUUUUCUUUUUUUAUAUUGAUGAGAGUUUUGAAGCUUGAGAAGGUUUGUGCAAAACAUCUCUAAGGCAUGAUCUAUAUGCCUAAUCCUUAAUAUAUAUAUAUAUAUAUAUAUAUAUAUAUAUAUAUANUAUAUAUAUAUAUAUUGAUUUUCAUGUAAAUCUAUAUGCUUAAUCCUUAAUUUUUAUGUUCAUGAGUAUAUAUGUUGAAUUGAUAAAAUAUGUUGAUGCCUUAUGAAAGACGAGAGUAUAAAUGUUGAAUUUAUGAUGUUUGAUUCUUAUUGUUCAUGGUUGAUGUUUAUUUGUGUGUAUGGGGUGGUUGAGACUCAAAUUGGAGAAAUAGACAAGUUUUAGAUAUGUUCAAUAGAGAGAGAAACACACAAAAUCGCAAGUAGACAUAGAAGGGGAUUGUCUGCCUUGUUUCAUACAUAACUUGAGUUUCGUAAGUAUGUUUGAGGUGCAGUCAGUUGCGUUAGAAAAAUAAAGUGAUAAUAUUUCUUCUGAAGUGGAAAAAUUGGUUUGGAAGCGCUACAACAGUAGCAGUUAUCGGGUUUUUAUACCAAAAGUAUAAUAAAAACUUUAGUCCUAUGUUGGUUGUUUUGUUUCACGCAUAACUUGAUUUUUGUAAGCCCUUUAAGAGUAAAAUUUAUAUCAUAAGAAAAUAUAAAAAAUGCAUACAUACUAUAUUAAUAAGUAUGUCAUAUCAUUAAGUUCAGUAGGAGAAAUACUAGUUACAAGUCUGACGAAAUAUUUUGUCCAAUGUCGGUACGAGUUUCCAUUGUUCCAUUAAAUUGUACCAAUGGAGACCUUAAUUUCAAAAAUAAAUAUUAUAUACUGAUAAUAGACAUUUGAAUCUUUCCAAAACAUAUUCAUUUACUUUAUUUCAACUCUUUUUGAUAUUUUACAAAAAUGGUUCGAACCUAAGGUAUGACUAGAAGCAAAUAUUCUGUUUGGUGUAUGCACAAGUUCCUAUUGUUUGAUUAAAAUGUACUGAUUGAGAUCUUAAGUCUUAAAGUAAAAAACAUAGUCUUAAAAUAGACACUCUAAGAUUUUUGAAACAUAUCCAUUUUCUUGAUUUCAACUCUUUUGAUAUUUUAAAUAAUUAUUCGAAUCUGAUGUAUGACUAGUUGGAAAGAUGAUUUUAUGGUUGUUUUGAUAAGGUGUUAUGUGAAUUAAGUUGUUAAUAUUUUAUGACACAGGCCCAAUAUUUUGAUGAUACAUUUGUGUGAAAUAAGAUGUGGAUAUGUUUAAAGUUGAGUUUGAGAAUUAAAUGAGUUGAGUUUUGAGUUAUUUGAUAUGUUUAGAGUUGAGUUUGAUAUGUUUAGAGUUGUACUGAAUUAAAUGAGUUGAGUUUUGAGUUAUUUGAUAUGUUUAGAGUUGUGUUGAAUUAAAUGAGUUGAGUUUUUUAGUCAUCUGAUAUGUUCAGGGUUGAAUUAGAUAGUAAAUGAGUUAAGGUUAAAAUACACAUUGUGACUCUUAAUUUUUUAAUUAAAAAAUAGAGUUAUUUGUGAGCUUUGUUGAGUUAUGAGCAGAUCUUUUUGAAUGUUGAUGAUUGUAUGAUGUUGUUUUUAUCUUGUUGAUAAGUAUUGUUGAGAAAUUAUUUAUUAAACUAUUAUGUUGAGUUAUAAUUAAAUUGUUGAGUUAUGUUGAGAUGUGUGGUUCAUAUAUGAACCAUUGUUGUGGCCUUAUAUUGACGAUGUUUAUGUUGGGAUGUUUGGUUCAGAGAGGAACCAUUGUUGUGGCCUUGUAUAACGAUGUUUUAGAUUCAGAGAGGAGUAUGGGAGUUGGAGGUUGGGAUGAGUAUUAUAUUUCUAUUAUUUGUCGCAUUCAUGCAUCAUGUAUAUCGGAGAUAAGUACAUGUACAGACUUCGGUCCAGUGACAAGUUACUGGUUCAGAGAGGGGACCGAUGACGAGUUUGGUACUUUGCUUCGAUGACGAGUUUCAGGUUCAGAGAGGGGACCUGUGACGAGUUUUUGGUUCAGAGAGGAACCAGUGACGAGCGGACUAAUCAGUAACAUAACUUUGACAUCAAAAGUUUGAUAUGAAAUGCAUUGAAGUAUAGGAGAUGAGUAUAUUGUAUACAUAAUUACAUUUGUGAUUUAUUAUUGUUGUGGAUGAUCUAUGUGAUUGAUGAUUGAUAUUUUUAAACUAUCCUUGUUGUUUUAUGCACCGCUAACAUAUAUGAAUGUAUUUUCACUCAUAUUUGUUUUUAUGUUAUUCUUUACUUCAGUGAUACAAAUACUCGGGUAGGGGAGUCUUAGUUGUUGUUGAAUUGGAGGAUGGCGCAGUGACCUUCUUCAUAGUUUAUCGCUUUUAAAUUUAUUUUAGUUUCUACAUGUCGGUCGUUCUGAUAGUGUAACAUUGAGACGUAUUACCUUUUUGUUUGUGUUCUAUAAAUUGUUCAAUUAAACCAUUUAUUUCAUAAUUUAAAAUGAAGUUGCUUUUAAUUAUGAAACAAUUAACUUGAGUUGUUAUUAUAUGCUCAACUAUUAUAAUUUGUUAAUUGAAAAAGAUGUUUGUUAAUUGAAAAAGAUGUUUAUGAUCUCAAAAUAUAACAACCUAUUUUGAGUUAAUUAUUUUCGCUUUAUUUGUAUUUGGGAUUUGUGUGUUACACAAGUGAAUCAAAGAUAGAUAACCUAUCUAUUUUAUCAUGAGACUAGUUACUGUCCUGUCAUAUUAGGUGCAUGGAUGAAGGUUAAGACAAUGGUCAACAUUAAACAAAUUUAAUAAAAGUCUGAACAUGAUGAAUAAAAGCGACCAAUUAGAUUAAUAAUAUACUCUUUAUUAUAUAGUCUUUUCGAUACAACCUUUAAUUAAUUGAAAUUCAAAUAUAUUAUGCUAAAUUUAUUUAUCUGGGUUUGUAUAAUAUUAAAAUUUAUUUAAAUUUUAAUAAUUUGGAUAAAAGAUGUUGGAAAAUAGGUAUUAGAGCAUGUAUUGUCAGCACUUAUCUCUUGAUAAUAAAAUAUGAUAAACAUGCGCCCAACAUUUUCAUUCUGAAAUCAAAUCCCAAGCUUAUAUAUUUGGUAAGUACAUUUCCAAUAUUUUUUAUGUGACUAGAUGAAAAAUAUUAUGCAUUUGUUCAUGCAUAUUAUACAUUUUUUCUUUGCUUAUAAACUAAUAUAGAUGAUAAUUUUGGAUGAUAGUGUAACUUUAUAGUGACAAGAACAAAUUAAGAAUGCAUAUUGAGUUUUGCUACUUGGGUGGAAGAGCCAAGUUGGACUCACCCAUCACUUUUUACAUCAAGAAAAAAUAAUUUCAAAUUCGGUGUUAAAUGUUAGCCAAGAUAAAUAAGUGAUCAAUUUAAUUUUUUUUCUUUAAAAUACCAAUUUUUCAUAGACAUACUCAUACAAUAUGGUACACUUAUUUUGUCUGAACAAAAUAUAAAAAUAAUUGUUUUAAAAUGAUGUUUUUCUAUUUUAAAGAUAAUAUUAAUUAUUAUGUUUCUUCUUAAAUACUUACAUUUGUAUUUUAUAUAAUUUAAUAUUUUCCAUUUUGUAUUUAUGAUGAAGUGAAUACAUUAAUAUUAUAUAAAAAAUAUAAAUAAACUAAUACAUGACAAUAAUAUUUUUUAUUUAUAUAAUUUUUUAAUUGUAUAAAAUAAUGAACUAUAGUUCAUUUUAAAACAUGUCCGUUGAAUAACAUUGGCCAUCUAUUAUUACAAUUGUGGUCCUUUAUUUAUAUAUAUAUAUAUCCACUACAACUUGCAGGAAAAAUUAAAGCUCUAGGUCAAGGAAAGCCACUAGCUACCAUUUUCAUUUGUGUUAGUAGAUAUCCAAUCAUUCAAAGACCAAUUAAUUAAUACCACACUAAUCAUUUAUUCAUCAUAGUUUUCAAAAUGAUGGAAACCUACCUAGUUUACAAGCUUUGAAAUUAAAUAAGAUAGUGUAUGGUCCUUAUAUAAUUAAGUGAUCAUUAUUAGAGAGCACAAAUUCUUGCUAUAGUUAAACCAAAGAAAGAGAGGGACGACAAGAUCAAUUCAAACAAAAAAAAAAGACCAAAAUUUAGUUUUUUUUAAACUGAGUGAAGCUCUAACAGAUAUUUUUUAAUCAAUAAAAAGUUAAUAAUAAUUGUUAAUUAAUUUUAUUUUUGAUUAUUGUUAAAGUAAAUUAUACUUCUCUCUUUAGAGAUACUCAUAUUACACCCCUUUUUUCUUUUGUGUUAAAAUAUAUACAUUCGUCUCUCUUAUGCAAAAUAUAUUAUACUUCUAUUUUAUUUUAGAGAUAUUGAUAUUACACAAUCAUCCUCUCCUGUGUUAAAAUAUACACCCCUUCCUCUAUUAAGAAAAAUAUAUUACACUUCCUUCCCUUGAAAGAUGCUCAUAUUAUACUAUCUUCCCCUAUUAUAUUUUUCUUUUUUUUGAAAGUCCUAGAUUUAACUGGUAUAUCUUCCUCUCAUCCUCUCAUCGUUUGCACCCUUUACUAGUAUCGCUUCUACGUUGGACCUCUCGAUUAAUGAUUGUAUUGACAUGUAUUUCCCUUGUUUGAUGGAUCACAUGUUUUUCAAUGACUUUGGUUGCCUUCUUGACACCGUGAAGUACAAUUAAGACAUCUCAUUCUAGUUCCAAUACUUUCGGUGAAUUUGGACACAAUGAAGUGCAUGUUUUCUGUAGACUUGACGACGUUGAGAAGGAAAAUCAUAUUAUGGGAAAGCUGGAAAUCCAUCAAACAAAGGAAAGAUGAUUCUCUACGAUCCUACAUCUAGAGGUUCAUUGGAGAAGCGAUACUAGUCAUGGGCGUCGACGAGAGGAAGAAGAAGUACAUGUUAGGUCUAAGAUUCCAACAAUGGUCAAAAUUUUCCCUAAGUAUUAGAAUCAAGGCCCAUAAAUUCGUUAACAACAUACUGGUAAGGCCCAAAAAGUUCAUAUAGUACGAGGUAAAGAUGGUUGUUAGUAAGGCAAUUUAUGACAAAGGAUUUAAGAGAUAAGAAACAAGCAGAAGAGAAAACGAAGAAAUCAAAAGAGGAAACAAAAAGAGGGGUCGAAGCUAAGAAAUAUUCACAGACUAUAUGAGAGGUCAAAUGAGCACUUCCUGUUGAUACAAAAAUUACAUGUCAUUGAACGUAUCAAAAGAGUGUAUCUUGCAAAAAUGCAUCAAGACAACAUUUAGUGAAGAACAAGUUGAAACACAAAAGCUGCUUAGAGAACAUCUGAGAGUCAAUAAAUUUUGAUAUUGUCAUUUUCACUUGUGUAUCGCCCAUAACACAGAAGAAUGUGUAUAAUUGGAGGAUUAUAUCGAAGAUUUAAUCAGGAAGGGAAUGUUGUCUAUAUAUUUCUCCCAAGACAUAAUCCAAUCUAAGAAAAGGAGGCAAGGAAAAGAAAGCCUGCAAAUGAGAAGGAGUGAAAUAGCCAAAGUUCCUAAAAAACAGAGACAUUUCGACCAUGGAGAACAAAUUACCAAUUGCAUACACAAUUACAAGGAGGACAUUCGGAGAAUGGGAAGGACUAAUCAUCUUAAUGAACAUUGAGGAGAAAACACAAUAAUUGUGGGAGAAAUUCCCUAUGAACAUCAACGCAGACCCAAUGGUGCAGGGGAGACAAAUUUUUGAAGUGACCAACUAAACGAGAUCUCACAUGAACAAAACAUGUUGGUCAUGAUUGGGGUAGUUUCAGGAAGGUUUAAUCCUAAAAAUUUUAAAUAUUAAAUUAGACUAAAAUACUUAAGAAUAGAUUGAAGAGUAACGUAUAAAAUAAGGGUGAAAGUAUAGAUUUUAAUCUAAGAAGGAAGAAUAAUGUAAUUUAUUUAUCUUUUAAGGGAGAAGAAUGUAAUUUUUCUAAUACAUUUUGUCGAAGAAAGGAUGUGAAUUUAUAUUUUGGACACCUUUAAGGGGAAUUUGAUUGCAUGAGUGUGAGGUUUAAGUCCACUACAUCCUACUUAUUCACCUUUAAGGGAUAGGUAAAUGAUGACACUCUGUCAUCAUGUAAUUUUUUUAGUAUUUGCAUAUGUUUUUUUUAUGGUUUUUAGUAGAUUAUAUUUAAGUUUUAUGAAGAAAUAGAAAUAAAAUUAAGAAGUGAAUAAACAAAGCAAAAAGAUGAAAAAAUGGGGAAAUUGGAUAGAAAAGAGGAAAAUGCUACGUGAGAGGCAACACACAGAUUCAUGUUAUUAUUAUUUUUAUGCUUUCCAGUUUUGUGAACUAUACUACUAUUUUAUUUAACGAAUGAGUUUAUUUUUGUUGUUUUCUUCAGUUCGGAGUAUAAUUCUUUACCAAUAAUAAAAAAUAAUGAAAGACCCGAGAAAAAAGAAGAAAAAGAAAAGAGAAAGUAGAGUUGUUGCAAAAGUUUUAAAUGCAGAUAGAAAAAAUAUGAAGAAGAGUAAUAUUCAACAAUCUUGUACUCAAUCGCCAAAUGCCUCACCAAGUAGGGUUUGAGUCAAAUGAUUUCACUAUUUAUCUUCUUUCUUGUUAUGAGUGUCCAUAUGAUUGUUCAUUUACUUAGAUUUGCUUUAUUUCUAAAUUGAUUUCCAUCUAUUUGAUUACACACUCAAUCAAGUUGCUUGUUUUCAACUUAAAACUCUUAUUAUGCAAACCUUAAAAUAACUUUCAUAUGUUGUUAAACUCUUUGAGUUUGAAUCAUUUCUUUCGGUGACUUAGCCACGUGUUUACACUCUCUUCUUGGAGUUAGAUAGAUUAUUAUUUUCUAAUUCAUACAAAAAAAAAAUUAAGUUUGUGGUUGCUUCUGAAAUGAGCAACGAUUUAAGUUUGAGUUUGAGGUACUAAAAUCGCAUAAUUAAAAAAAAAAUUGAUGAUGAAAAGGAAAAAUAAAAGAAUGAAUAGAAGUUAGAAAAAAUCUUUAUAACGUUCAAAUUUAAAGCUUAUGAAAAAAAUGCUAAAAUAUAUUUGGAAUUCUAAUAUCCAUCAGAUAAAAAAAAGAAUAUGUAAGUAAGUAUCGUGUGAAAAUAAGAAUGUAGCAGGUACUUAACUUCAAGGGAUGAAAGCUACUAGCCAAAGUUUUGAGGAAGACCACAUUUAUGAAUGAGUUUCAUGAGGACAAGUAAGGGUGUACGUUUGGGAUUGUGAUGACAUUUUGUCAUCAUAUAAUUUUAUUAAGCAUUUGUAUAUGUUUUUGAUGAUUUUUAGUAGAUUAUGUUUAAAUUUUAUGAAUAAGUAAGAAGAAAAUGAAGAAGUAAGUAAACAAAGAAAAAAGAUGAAAAAGUGGAUAAAUUUGGGAAGAAAUGAUCAUUUUCAACACAACUUAUAUCACGGCGUCUAUCUAGUAAUUUGAUUAUAUAUAGAGUUUCGUAAUCCCGAUUGAGGUGAUACUGGAGGAAAAAUGAAAGCUUACCUCCAGAGUUACAACUUUUUUGAAUAAGUUAAAGUCUAAAUUAGAAUAUAAAUGAACAAAAAGUAGCGAUGAAAAUUAUGAUAUAAGGUGUUAGCUGUGAAUACAAUCUAGAAGAUGGUCAUGCUAAGGGUGGUGAUUCUGUAUGAUAUGAUAUAGAUAUCUAUUAAGAGUUGGGCAUGUCAUAGAAUUGAGUAAAAGUAUUGGCUAGAUGUUAUCUUAUCUUGCUAGGCGUGAAAUGGUGAAGGUUCGUCCUUUUGGAGAGAGGUGUUAUUUAUUAUAGAUUUUGUCGCCUUAAAUGUGUGUGUGUGAAGAUUGGGGUGGGUCGAGGGUUGAAGAUGGAGGUAGAAGAAGAUGCUUUUUGUGUGGGAAGAAGAACAUGCGACAAAUUGAUGAUCUUUGCUAGAUAAAAUUAUUUCUUAUGUUAAUAUAGUUUAUUCUUGGAUAUGGACACUUAAUCGUGACGUUGACUAAUCACCGAGAGGAGAAUAUCAUAUUUUGAUUCAUCAAAACCGGAUUGAUCGAGUGCCAACACAUAACCUCAUAUAAAACAAAACUAUACAAUAAACAUCUCUCUAUUAUAUGAAAGUUGAUCAUUGAUCAACAAUAUAUGAUCCCAACAAAAGUCAAUUUGGUGAGGCUGAGAAUAAUUUUGUCAUAUUCGUUAGAGUGUACAAGCUAUGGUUGUGGGAAAGAUAAAAACAUUUAACAUUUAUUUUUUAAGUGUUACUCCCUCCGUUUCUUUUUAAGUGUCGUUUUAGCAUAAAGCUCUCCAACCAAGAUAAAUGAAUUGUUAUAAUUUUUUUCCCAUUGUACCCUCAUUUUAAUCCACCAUAUACUUUCUCUUUCCUAAAUAAAAUUCAUUAAUAUAAGUACUCAUUAAUUAUUUACUUCAAAUAACUAAUUCCAUAAUUUUCUCCACAUAACUCUCUCUCUCUUCCGUUGCAUUUUUCAACUACUCCUAAAUUUUUGGAAUUAAUAUUGCUUGCUAUAGGAAUACGUACUGCUUGCAUUUCCACCAGAGCUCUUUUGUUUUGCACUUGAUAAUUUAAACAAUGCUACUGAUCCUUUUUAUAGAAUUUUAAGUCUUCAAUUGGUAAAAUUGUUUCCUUUUGCACUUGAUAAUUUAAACAAUGCUACUGAUCCUUUUUAUAGAAUUUUAAGUCUUCAAUUGGUAAAUUUAUUCCUUUGACAAAAUUUAAUGCUAAUACAUUUUUCUAUGUAACAUUGGAAGCUAUCAUUUGAAUAAUUUUUAUUGACCAGCCAAUACUUUGAAUAGGAAUGGGAGUUAUGUAUGGGAAUGAGAGUACGUAUUAAGAAAGAGAAUUUUAUGGAAAAUGUGGAGUGAGUUAUUACAUAUAUUAAGAAGAAAAAUUAUGGAAAAAUAAAGUUGAUGAGUUAUUUAAAUAGUAAGGGUAUAAUUGACAAAUUGUAACAUUAAAACAUCAAAACGACACUUAAAUAGGAACAAAAAAAAUCUUCUAAAACGACACUUAAAAAGAAACGGAGGGAGUAGUUUUUAUAAUAAGAUUUAAACAUUUAUCCUUCCGUGGUUGAAUAUUCUCUAGGCCUUUCUGAAUGUUAUCAAUACUCACCUCACGCCCUCAAAUUCCACAGCCUCUAUUCCUUAUUUAGGAGACUCAUCAAUGCUUUCAAGUCAUUGGUAAACUAUUUGACAAUAAAUAUUCAAAUUUUACACAAUUGAUUGGAAGAUCAAUAUUCUUGCUGAUAAUUAAGAACUUAUAGGUCAGAGAUAUUUUUUUGACAUAAACUUCAUGGCAAAAUAAACCUUACACUAAUAUUGAUUUUUGUUUGUGAUAUAAUUUAUGACUUUUUUAUUUGAAUUCUAUAUGGUCAUAUCUUAUAUUUGAAUAAAUUAUUAUUUUUAAUAAUAUAUCUAUUUGACUAAAAAAACAAAACUUUAACAUUAACUUUUCUAGAUAUUUAUAUCUUUUUUUGAACAAAAAUAUUUAUAUAGGUAUAGAUAUUAAAUUCAACGAAACCACGGUUUCCUCGUUUAAUACAUAUUGAUUGAAAAUUAUUUGUGUUUAAUUAUAAAUAUCAAACAAUAUGUAAAUUGUACCACAAGUCCUAACUAAUUUCUAAAAGUGCUCUCUAGUUACAUUUUUCAUUUUCUACGUUGUGCAUACAAAUUGAGGAUUGUAAAUUCCACCACAUGAAUAAUAGGGAAUAUGAUAAUUAAAGCCAAGAAAAAGUAGGUUUUGGUGAACAAUAUGCACGUGAAUGAACAAUGACCAAACAUCAUCUUCACUCAAAGAUCCUUUUCUAUAGUUUGUGUUCACAUUAAUCUACUCUUAUGUCACCAGAUUCUUAAUUGGACCCAUUUCACACCAAUAAAAUAAUAAAUACCUUUGACACUCUUCCACCAUACUAUAUUGGCUGCUGCAUGUUUUGAUAAAUUCCAAACAUAACCUCUUCAAAAUUUAAGUACCGACAACAAAAUGUACAAUAGGAUUUUCCAUCAUAGUAGUAUAUUGCACACGUUUUAUUGUAAGAGUCAUUUCAUGGCUCAGUUGUUUUAAAUUUUAAAAAAUAGAUUUUUUUUAUAUUUUUUAAAAUGGAUUUCAUAAAACAGCUUUCAAAAUAUUAUAAUUUUUUUUAUAUUUGUUUUAAAAAAGACUAAUUUUGACAUUCUAUAACAAAAACAUACAUUAUUAAACAUCAAAAUAUAAUAGAAAUUACAAUUUUUUCAAAAAGUUAUAUUUCAAAAAAGAUUUUAAUGAAAAAUUAUUAGAAAUAGUUUUAAAAUUAAGUGAUAUUUAAAAUUCUAAUAUCCGAAAAAAGUUUCAAUAAAAUGAUGAAACAUUUAAAAUAAUAUUUUAAGAAUAACUAUUAAAAGUGAAUUUUUAAUUGACUUUUUAUGUAAAGUUCUUUGUAAAAAUAUUUCACACAAAAUUAUGUUAUACUAUAAAAAUCAUUUUUAAAAAAAAGGCAAAACAAAUUGAUGUAUGUUUCUUAAAAAAGAUAUAUUAUAGUUAUACAGUUCGAAGAUUAUAAAAUAUUACAGUUAUACAGUUUGAAGAUUAUAAAAUGUUAAUGUCAUAAUAUGGGCUAUUCAAAAUGUAGUGAUAAUAGGGUAUGAACUGUAGCAACUAACCUAGCUCAUACAAAUCAGAAAGUAACUAGCUCCAUAGGAGCAUUUUCUAGAAAUCGUGGCAAGGGAGCUCGCUACACUAGACGCCAUGCUCGUAAUCGUGGACAAAAUACAUCAUGAAAUCAUCCAACAUGUCAAUUAUGUGGCAAAUAUGGACACUCAGUCACUGAUUGCUAGCAUAGGUUUGACGAAACCUUUAUGUCACACAACCCUUCAAGCUCCCAAACCAGUGUUGUGAAUGAAUCUACUACAAAACAUGAGCAAGUACAAGGUUCCAACCAAAACACUCAGGUUAUAACAAUGAUGGCAAGUGCUAAUCAAUAAUUAGCUUACACUCAAGAAUACUCACUUCCAACUAAAUUGGAAUCACAAGCCUCGAUUGCUGAUUCAUGUGCUUCUCACCAUCUCACACCUUAUGCUUCUUAUUUACAUAAUUUAAAGAGUUAUGUAGGUUCUAACAAAGUGUAUGUUGGUAAUGGUCACACCCUGACCAAUAAAUUCAUAGGUUCAGCCUAUUUUCACUCUAAGAUUGCACCUCAUAAACUAUUAUUGUUGUCUAAUGUAUUACAUGUUCCUACAAUCACAACAGACUUGUUGUCAGUCUCUAAAUUCUCUAGGGAUAACAAUGUCACCUUUGAUAUUUUGGAUGAAAAAUGUUGUGUUAAAUCCCAGGAUUCUAAGAAAACUUUAUUUGAGGGCUACCUUGAUGACAUUGGUUUAUACUACUCUCCCAAGCUACCCUUGGAGUUGCCAAAGUAAAAAUGCAUUAGCAACUUAUGUAUUCCCACUGGUAUACAAAGCUGCCCUAUUUCUAAUUCUACUAUAGUUGAACCUAAUAAUUUUCAUUCUAGUUUCUUAUGGUAUAAUGUCUUGGUCUUGCCAAUUUCAAUUCUAUUAGACAAAUACUGAAAUUGUGUAAAAUAGCUACUCAAAAUUAAGUUGAUUCUUUUGCUUGUAAGUCAUGUAAUCUUGAAAAGACUUGUAGAAUUCAUUAUCCAUUGUCUACUACUAUUUAUUCUAAUGCUUUUGAUAUCAUUUAUACUGACUUGUGGAGCCCCUCACCUCAACCCUCUAGCUCUGGGUUUAGAUAUUAUGUGACCUUUGUUGAUGGCUACACUAGGUACACGUGACUAUACUUUCUAAAGACAAAAUAUGAAUCACUUGAAGCCUUCAAAUUGUUUCACUUGUUUGUUAAGACUCAAUUCCAUACUACAAUGAAAUCAGUUCAGUCUAAAUUUGGAGGUCGGUAUAGACCAUUCACAAAUUACCUAACUGAGUUAGGCAUAAACCAUAGACUAACUUGCCCUCACACAUCUCAUCAAAAUGGGAUUGUGGAAAGAAAACAUAGAUAUAUAGUAGAAAUGGGACUUACAUUGUUAGCUCAUGUAUUUGUCCCCAUCACUUUUUGGGACCAUAGUUUUGCUACAUCGCUUUACCUAAUUAAUAGACUUUCCUCGCCUAACUCGCCAAAGUUCAACUCACCCUUUCAAGCUUUAUAUGGGAAAGAACCUAUUACAAACCUCUAAAGGUUUUUGGGUGUGCUUAUUUUGCUUUACUAAGACCAUACAACAGACAUAAACUUCAAUUAAGAAGUCAAGAAUGUGUCUACCAUGGUAUCUCUCCUCAACAUAAGGGUUUCAAGUGCUUAAGUAAAGAGGGAAAAAUAUAUAUUUCUAAGGAUGUCAAGUUUCAUGAACAAGACUUCCCAUUCUCAAAUAUGUUUCCUAGUAAGUUUAUAUCCAACUGUACCAAAAUCUCCAAGACUACACUAGGCUCAACACACAACAUACACUCCCCUAUGUUAAAUAGCUAUUUUAAUAAUGGUGUUUCCCAUUCUAACACUCAAACAAGGCCAAUACAUAUGUAUUAGUCUCCCAAAAAAAGUGUGUCUAUUCCUCCAAAUAGUAUGCCAACUCAGUCUUCCUCAAAGAGUCUUCAUAAUAGGUCUGCUACAGCUGUACUACCACAGAGUGGUCAAAUCACUACUUAUGUUGAUCCUAGCCAUGUUCCUCUGCAUAAUAUCACUGGUUUAGCAAGCUACCCUAAGGGUACUGCACAAAAUGAUAACAUUUAUACACUUGAACCUACUCCCUUACACAAUACCACUAGUUCAAGAGGGUACUGAACAAAAUGCCAAGAGUACUAUAUAACUCACACAAUUAUCCUCAUAAUAUAACUCACACAAUUAUCCCCUUUAUCCCGAGUCUAAAAUGUCAAUAUCUCCGUCCAUUGGUGCUAGCAGAUCUGAACCGAUUGUGCAUCUAUUACAUAAUGAUCAUGCCAUGUUGACUAGGGCCAAAAAAGGUAAAUCAAACCCUAAGGUGUUUGAAGCUCAUACUGAAACUGGACCAACAAGUGUUAAACAAUCUUUAUCUAAACCAUAAUGGGUCAAAGCAAUACAGGCAUAAAUUGAUGCUUUGAGAUAAAAUUGAACUUGGACAUUAACUACUUUACCUCUAUAAAUGAAAGUAUUAGGUUAUAAGUGGGUAUUCAAGAUUAAAGAAAAUCUAGAUGGAAAUGUUCAAAAGCAUAAAGUUAGGUUGGUUGCUGUAAGACCCCAAUUUUGACCCUAAGAUCCCUCAUGCUAUUCCCAUCAUAUGCAUUAACAUUGGGAUCACACCUUGACAUCCUCCUUACCUCUCAUUCAUUGGGUUUUCAUUGGGAGAUAUCACCAAGCACAUUUGAUUGUACCAUACUUCAUUUUUCUUUAUUUACUAACCAAAAUACCAAAAAUAUGUCAUUGUAUAGUUUAACUGCUUUUGUAGGUAGUAUGUAUGCUCACAUAUGCUCUAUCAAGCUCAUAUCUAGGGUUCAAGACCCUCAACGCAAGGAGCUCAAUAAAGAAAUGAUUUACUAUGUCUCUAAUUAUCAUAUAUAGAUUUCCAUGAUCUUCACAUGUUAUGUUGAUCAAGAAAUCAUCAAGAGUUGGAAGCUUCUUUUCCUUGGAAGCCCUAAUUCAUUUGGGUAUCUUGUGUGACUUCUUCAACACGUUUCUUCACCAAUUGGUCAAAUAUUUCAAGGGCUACUUCACAUUUCAUCAUCUUAUGCAUAUAUUAUCCUCCAUGAGUCCCAAAAGUCAAGAGAAUAUCAAGCUAGCAAGUUGGUUCAUGGUGGUUGACCAGAGGAAUUCAACUAGUAAAAACUGGGGUUCCCUAGACCCUAUCUCCUACAAUGUUUAUCAUAUGAAAAUUAUUCAAAGAUAAAAUUUACUCUAAAUGAUAUUCCAAACAACUUUAAUGUUGAGGUCAAGAUCAAGUUUUGCUUGGAAAGUCAUUUUUUAUGGUGAACAAUUAUAGGUCAUUUUGUAUAAACCCUAAUUUGGAGGUCAACUCCCCAAGAUCAUAACUUUCUCAUUUUGUAUGAGAUGAAAAAAGCCAUUCAAAUUUCAUGAUCAAAUUCAAGAUGUCUAAUUCAACUUUGAUGUUUGGAGGAAGUGCAAAUUCAACUUGAAAAUACAUGUGCCAAGAGGAAACAUUAUAGGCCACUUUGGACCAAUACCAUUGAACAAGUGAUUUUUCUCAACUUCUAAAAUGCAUAACUCCUUCAUUCUAAAUCAAAAUGAGGUCAAAUUUAUGACAAAUGCUAAAGGAUUUGGAAGAGAUACAACUUUUAUGAAGGAAAUUUUCUCAUUUGAAGUCCAUAAAAAAAGUUAUUCAAGGUGGAAGAAGUGAACAUAUGGCUUGCUACUUAGAAUUUUUUUUGAUAUGUUUGAUUUUUCAAACUUCCACCUCAAAAUUCAUCAUGAUCCAAGCUUCAAAUGAAAAAGUGUUCAACAUGAAAGUUGUUUCUCUUGAUCUAACCUUUCUAAAAAGUCCAAAAUCGUCUAAUUUGGACAAAGGAUGAAUGAGUAGCGCAUGGGUUAAAUUUGUAGGACCAUUUGGAAGAUUUCAAGUUCCACUUUUCAUACACGAAUGCAUGGCUUGACAACAUGAUUUCAGCAUGGCUUACACUCAAUUUUGGAACUAAGUGCAUCACUUGAUGGGCCUAUCACACGCUCAUGCAAGCAAGCAUGCAAGAGAGAUUUUCAAGUUUUGCCAAAAAUGGAAGUGUGCAAAUAUCAUUCCCAUUGGCCUAUAAAUAGAAGCUCUCUUGCUCAGAAAUAGAGACCUCAUGCGCAAGCUUUGAUUCAGCAACCCUAAACCCUCACCAUUAAAGGAUAAGCUUGAACAUUUUCUUUGAAAAUUGAGUUUUAAAUCUCCAACUGUUUUGAGAUUGAAACUCCAAGAGUCCAUCCUUUUCCUUGAUCCAUUUCUAUUUCAUCAAGCAUCUGAAGCAAGGCCGAGCAUAAUUGAGAGUAAGAUCAUGCCAAUCUGAAGCUCCAUUGAAGGUGAUUUUCAAGAUUUUUUCACUCUUCGAUUCUCUCUUAUUUCUCCACUAUUCUUGUUGAUUUUUGGUUGUCUGAGGUCCUACCAAUGUAGGCAACAAGAUUGAGUUGCUUAGAGGUCAAAUCGAAGCAAAUCAGAUCAUGAUCCUCAAAAUUCAACUCCUUGUAUCUUCCUAUAUACUUGGAGUUAGACAAAAUUGAGGCCAGAUUCGAGCUUUUGAGUAUUUUUCCUUUAAAUUCAUGUCUUACCUUUUCAUUUUGGUGAUGGUUGAAGACGGACCAGUCCGGUGAGGUCCAACCGGAGAAGAAGAUCAGAGCUCUAACUCCGGCGAUGUGUUGGCAAGUCUAUAAACCACAUGAUCCAUUCGAAAUGUUUUAAUCUUGAGUGUUGGUUGUGAUUACCACGUGUAUUGCGCAGUUGACUAAAGAUCACAUGGAACGCGCGUUUUGGACCAUUUGAUAUGUCACCUCAAUUAAUGAGGGAGAUCAGAUGGUCCGCGUAUUUUUGAUUUUCUGAAUUUUCAUUUUAAUUGCAUUAUUUUCAUUAAUUCAUAUUAUUUUUAAUAUUGAUCCAAAAAAUAUGGGACUUUCACCCAAAAAAUUCAAAUAUUUUUCUCUUUCAUUUUUUGAAUUAAAAUUAUUUUUUGGAUCAACAUUAAUAUUUUUCAUUAUUUUAUUGUUUUUGUGCAUAUUUUUAAUUGUUUAAAAAUACUUUUGACUUUCCAAAAAUAAUGAAAUUUUUUCCCCAGGGUCCUUUGACCUUGUUUGACAUAUGAUAAAUCUCUUGGCCAUUUAUUUGGUGUUUUGAAGAGGUUUUAGGUUUUUGAUCAAACAUAAUUUAAUUUAAUGCAUUUUUAAUUGAUUUUUAAUUGUUUAAUUGUGAAUAAAUUGUGUUGAGCACAUUUAUUUGGUGUUUUGAAGAGGUUUUAGGUUUUUGAUCAAACAUAAUUUAAUUUAAUGCAUUUUUAAUUGAUUUUUAAUUGUUUAAUUGUGAAUAAAUUGUGUUGAGCUAUUUUUAUUGACUUGUGGAGUUUGACUAUUGUAUUUGGGCCUUGGUCAAGGUUGAUUUGACUUUGUUGGAUUAAAAUCAUUGGAUUUAGGGGAUUGAUGAAAUGUACAUUUCAUCUUCCAAAAUGAAUGAAUGAUUUUAAUUUGAUAAAAUUCAUCCCAUGACCAAUUUGUGUUUGUCUCAUUUCCCCUCCCUCUUCUUCUUCAAUCCCAUUUUAUCUCAUGCAUUCCAUUGACCAAUGAUAUCUCUAUAUCCUAAGGCUAGUUGGUUCAUAAACCAAUACAAGUAUGGAUGAGAUUAGGUCCACCCUUUUGUCAUUUUCUUUUUAAGUGUGGUAUGUUUUAUGAGUGUGGUUCAUUAUACCAUAUCUCUAACAUGCAUUAACACUAAAAUUUCUAUUGCCCGGCCUCAUAUAGUUGUGACUUCUACAUAAGUCCAAUUACGAUUGCUUAACAUAGCGCUAAAUUUUGACCCAAAAGCAUAGCAUUCUAGUAAGUGAGAUUGUAAGUCAUCUAAUACAUGAGAGAUUAUGAAGAAGACUAUGGAGUUGCUAACUUGGAUGUGGAUAUCUUUAUUUGAUUCCUUGCUCUUCAUCUUGCUAUUUGUGUAUUGAUAUUGUUUGAUUUCAAAGUCCAAAGGAAAAGUGGGUUUCUAUAUGACAUUCUUGUCUAUUGAAUUGCAUCCCAUUGGUCAUAUCUUUUCAACUCUUAACUUUUAAAUUUUUGCUUAGGAUUAGUCUCUUCAUCUUCUCCCACUUCUUAAAUCUCAAAUCUUUCCCCUCUUUCAAAAUCUUCUUUGCUUGUGAUUUUUGAAUUUAGACUUUAUUGAAAAUUAGAAACUUUGGCCUUAGGCCAUUGCAUUUUUAAACUUCUUUUUCUUAAUCAAACUUGUAAAUGAACUUAACCAUACUUGACUGAAAAUUUCAAAAGACAAAAGGAACUAACACUCAUUCAAACUCUUUUAGGCCCUUUUGUGCCUCUUUUAAACUUAGAUUUUUGUUAGAAGCAAUUCACUCACUUUGAAAUUGAUACCACGAACUACGAGGUUUUGAUCCCUAAUUUUAUGUUGGUACAUAGGCACAAGUCCGAAGGUCUUGUCAAACAAAAAAAUAUAACUAAUGAAUUUUUUUCUCAUCCCCAAACGCUAUUUAUUGCAAACAUCUUUUAUGCCAAAACACAUAUAACAUAAAAAAAAAGGCUCCCUUGGAGUACCUAGGACACUUUGGGUGCUAACACCUUCCCUCUAUGUAACCAACCCCCUUACCUUUAAUCUUUGGCACUUUAUUAGUUUUGAUUUGAAAACUUCUUAUCUUUGGGUUUUGUUCGUACUUUUCCCUUUUCCUUUGGAAACAAUAAAAGCACGGUGGCGACUCUGGUUUUAUUGACGUUAAGUUUAUCCAUUUGGCACUUUAUUAGUUUUGAUUUGAAAACUUCUUAUCUUUGGGUUUUGUUCGUACUUUUCCCUUUUCCUUUGGAAACAAUAAAAGCACGGUGGCGACUCUGGUUUUAUUGACGUUAAGUUUAUCCAUUGCUUAAUGGUCAUGAAUUUACCGCUACAGUUGCAAAGGGAUAUCAUCAAGAACAAGGGUUUGACUUUACAUAAACACUCUCACCAGUGUUCAAGCCAACAACAAUCAAACUAAUACUUACUCUUGUCCUAACCUACAAAUGGGAAAUUCAACAGGUAGAUGUGAACAAUGCUUUUCUAAAUGGGACACUUCAUGAAGAUAUCUACAUGAUUCAACCACUUGGGUUUGUGCACUCUGACAAGACUCUUGUGUGCAAAAUUCAAAAAGCUCUAUAUGGCCUUAAAUAGGCACCACAAUCAUGGUAUGAAAAGAUAACUCAUUAUCUUAUUCAAUUUGGAUUCAAUCACUCUAUAUGUGAUCAUUCACUCUUUUUAUACUCAUGUCAAGGUGUUUAUCUGUAUGUGCUUGUCUAUAUGGACGAUACCUUGGUUACAGGUUCUAGUCCCACAGUCAUGCACAGUCUGAUUAAAAAACUGCAUACAAACUUUGCUUUGAAGAAACUUGGUAGGCCCUCCUAUUUCUUGGGUAUUCAAGUAAAAUAUCAAAUAAAUGGAUCCUUACUACUUACACAAGCCAAAUACAUAAGGGAUCAAUUGGCCGGGGUUGAGAUGGAAAAUAUGAAUGAUGUUCCUACACCCAUGCUUAGCACAUGUAAGCUAAGCAGACACGGUUCCCCAGCAUUGUCUGAUCCGCAAUUGUAUAUGUUUAUUGUUGGUGCUCUACAAUAUGUAACCUUAAUAAUAUCAUACAUUUCCCUAAGUGUUAACAAAGCGUGUCAGUUCAUGGCCUCCCCUUAGACACUCAUUGGUUUGUAGUUAGAAGAAUGCUUAGAUAUACGAGUGGUACUUCAUGUAACACCCUUCUAAACUCCACAUAUAAUCAUCAGAUAUUUUAAUUAAAAUCACAAUCAUAAGGGUGUCACACACAUCACAAACACAUCAUUCUUUGUAACACAGGUUACAACAAAACAUUUUAAUGCGUACAUUUGCACUUAGGAUGUUUACACGACAUCUAACUCAUAUGGUACUAUCGCAGUGAAAACAUAAUUAAAGCAAUUAAAAACUAUAUUUUACUCAUACCAUUUAGUUUCAACUUCAACUUUCAUAAAAAAUAAAAGAGAUUAAUAAAUAAGCUCAAUAACCACAUCAGUCGUAAUACUUCAACAUAAACAUGACAUAAGAAGCUAAACAAGCAUUCCCAAAUCGAUGUUACAUAAUCAGAGAAAGACACUUCUAAUUAAAACGAUAAACUAAGAAGCAACUCCAGGAGCUAGCUUCCACUCACUUCCACAAGAUCUACUCUUGAGUAUCUGCACGAUGCCCAUGUAAAGGCAACAUUCAAACAGAAGGAGUAAGAAUUCAUUUCAACAACAAAUCAUAUAGAAUGUAAAAUAGAGUACAACAUCUACACAAUCAUGCACAACAAAAUAUCACAUUUUCACACCCAAAUCAUCAUCUACAUCAUGCACAACAACAUCUCAAUAAUUAUCAACAUCAUACGCAAUAACAUUAUCAUCACACAUAGUCAUAGUUCACGCAUACACUUCAUUCAUGUUAUGCCACUCAUGACAACGAUAACGACUCAUAUGCAUGUCGUACCAUUCAUGAACACUCUGGUUCAUCUCACUCCCGAUCCCUACCAUAGGACCUGAUCAGUCACCAUUUGUGUUAUAAUUAUUAUCAUGUUAUCAAGUGAAAGCACGCGAGUUAGUUGUAUUUUGCAUACAAUUUAAGUCGUUUUUACACCUUCUUUUACUGUUAGCAUCAUUUAAUCUUUUCAUUGUGUUUCAUCAGUUUGUUGCCAUUUUUCGCAUUUUACACUUUGGGUGUGUACCUUUUCUGCAUUUCAGGUUCAACAGGUAGUCAAGUACGAUCAAAUGUAGAAAUCAAGAAGAAGCGUAAAGAAUCGGAAAGGUGUUUCCAUGUUCCAGUAGGCCUGCUACGGCCACCCGUAGCACCUGCUACAGCCACUCGUAGCACCUGAUACAAGAUGUAGCUGGAAGUCCUUAAGCACAAAGUAAAACCAUCCAAACAGGGACCUAGUACAGACACCCGUAGCACCGGUUACAGGCCAUAGUAGGGGGGUCUGACGCAGAAGAAGAAUCCACCUAAAAUAGUGGCCUGCUACGGCCACCCAUAGCACCUGUUACGGGCCGUAGCAAGAGACCUGGGACAAGACCACCAAAAUAGUGGCCUGCUACGGGCCGUAGCAGGCAUGCGUGAAAAAGUCCAAUUUUGUCUUUUCUUUUGUUAUUCUUAAGUUAGGGGAAUUUUGGUCAAUUGGAAAGCAGAUGUGAUGGACUUUUGUGGCUCUGUUUGAGGAGAGAGAAGACUUUUCUAUAAAAAAGGGAGUUUUCAAACAAGAAAGGAGACAUUUUUUAGAGAAGCAAGAGUUCACACGAUUUAGAAUUAGAGAAAUCAAGAUUUUGGGAGAAACGAGAUUUUUCAUGAGCGGAAGCAAUUGAAGAUCAAAGUUCAUAUGAAUACUUGUAAUGUCUCGAUUUUAUAUUUUGUUUUUCUUGAAUAUUAUGAGUAGCUAAAUCCUCCAAUGUUAAGGGGGUAUCCCUGAUUUGAAUCUGUAAUGACUUUGAGUUUAUAUUUACAAUGAAAAUAUUGCUUUUCAUAAUUACUUUAAUCUUGUGAUGUGCUUAAUGCUUUCUCUUUCAGAACAAUUGAGAUUGUUAUAUGAUUAUCAAUUAGGUUGGACAUCCGUUGAUAAGGCUUUCAUGAGAUUAUUCUACAGUAGAUAUUAUCCAGGACUAGGGAUACCAUGUAGGAACCAAAUUGUUCUCAACAUAAUAAGGCUUAAUUUCAUCGGUAGUUUUCUAUGGACAUAAAGAUUAUGGCUUAAUGAUUAAAGGUUUUCUCACCAAGACCUUAGGAGAAAACACCCUUGAGAACUGGUAGUAAUUAAUUGAUAUUUGUUGAUGCAAUAGUGACUCAGAGUUGUUACAAGGAAAAAUCACACACGUUCCUUAGCAUAUUAUUCUAUCUUGAAAACCCUUUUUCAGCACUAUUUAUUUUAUUUGCAGUUAUUUAUAUACAGUUGAAUCAAAAACCCCAACACAAGUUUUUGUUUAAUUGGAUAACAACUAGAACUCAAUAUUUACGAGCAGUCCUUGAGAUCGAAAUUCGGGGAACUUUCCUCAUUAUUACUAUAAAGGCAAAAUAGUACACUUGCCAUUUUUCCGAUCAGGACCAGAGCACACCAAAUCGUUACCACCAUCAUAGGUAACGCUUCACCGACUUCCACCUGAAACCGCCUACUCGUUCCCGAUCCCCACCAUAGGACUAGAGCACGCCAAAACUGGAUUGAAGCCCAUACAUCAUGAUACAUGACUCUUAUUAACACGCAUUAUCACAACAAGGUUCACCAAAAGGAUCCACAUACACAUCUCACCAUUCAUAUCACAUCAUUCAUCAUGUGCAACAAUCAAUUCAUGUCACAAUGUGAAUAACAUCAACAAACAACAUCAAGUCAUCAAACAUGAUUCCAUAGGCAUUCAUUCAUGUUAGUUCGCCGAAAAAAUAACACAUCAUCGUAUAAACAUAACGAUUCACUAACCAAUCAUACAAGUCAUCACAAACUUCUCUACAGUAGAUAAUUGACUACUGUGAGUGCAACUUGGCAUUAGGAAUCAUAAAAACAUUUUUGAAAUGAGUUAGAAAAGGUUCCAUGCAUGAAAAACAAGUUUUUAUGGGAAAAGCAGGCUAUGUGCCGACACAUACGUUCUAUAGGUCGACACAUAAAAGAAAAAGUUUCCUAUGUGUCGACACAUACGAGUUACAGGUCGACUCAUGUACCUCAUUUUUAAAGCCCGUAGCUUCUGUUUGAUGUGUCGAUUGUAUGUGUCAACUCAUGACCUAUACAGGUCGACACACGACUUACAUAGAUCGACACAUACUUUAAUUUUUUUGUCUAAAAUUCAGUUUUUUAAUCAUCCAAACACUAUCUUAUAUAAUAACAACUUAUUUCAAGAAAAUAUAUCAUAUUAAUCUCAAUUUCUAUUGCUAUCACACUCUAAACUCACCUAUUAUUUCAUGGGUUCAUGGAUCAAUAACACAUUGCAACAAUAUCAUCAUAUUCAUCAUCUCUAAAUCAUCAAUUUUCCAUCAAAUUCAACAUGAUUCAUUUGAUUCAAGCACAUCACAACAACAAUAUAUCAAUACACAUGGUUAUAAUUCAUAUCAUUGCAUAUAAAAACAAUAUUACCAUCCUUAAUCAAAAGAAUAACAAACCCUAUGGAAGGUUAUGAGUCCCUCCAACACUUCCAUCAUGCCCCUUAAUAUUGAAACAGUUUCCCAUCCUUACCUCAAUCCUUAGUAGAAAAUUCUUGUGUUGAUGUGUUCUUCCUUCCUAAAGCUUCAAGUCACAACCUCAUGCCCUUGCCUCUUUUCUCUCUUUUCCCAAUUUUAUAUGAUUUGACAAAAAAACACUAACCUAGAUUGUUUUUAUUUUAAAUAGUUAGGUUCCCAUCUUUCUAAAAUUAGAACUUAACCCACCAUUAAUUCCCUCUUACUCCUUACUCCCUCGUAUUCCUUUAAAAUUCCACUUUUUACCCGAAGUCCCUAUUUUUCUCAUUUAAUUAAAUAAUCUAUUAGAUCAUUAUUAUUUUAGUUAUCUAAAAUAACUCUAAAUUAUUCUAGAUUAAUCAUAUGGUCACAACCCCUUAAUUAUUCUCCCAUCUCAAGGACACAUACCAUAUAAUCUUAUUUCUAUAAUUGAACAAAAUAAUCAACAAUUGCACCAAUACACAAAGAAUUAUAAUAAUUUAAUUAAUCCAUGCAAAAACUAAAACUGGGGUGUUACAACUCUCCCCCAAUUCAAGAACUUCUGCCCUCGAAAACUACCUGAAAGAAACAAAGUCGGCUACGACUCUCUCAUCUGACUUUUCAGCUCCUAAGUUAUGCUUCCACCAGCUGGUCCUCCCCACACUACCUUCACCAAGACAAUCUCCUUACCAUACAACUACUUCACUUAUCGAUCCUCUAUCCACAUGGGUGAUGCCUCCAUAGUCAGGUUCUCUCUCACCUGCAUAUCAUCCACUUGGAUCACAUGAGAUGGAUCCAGAAUGUAUCUCCUCAAAUGAGACAUAUGAAACACAUCAUGAAGAUUAGCAAGCAGCGGUGGCAAGGCAAUCUGAUAGGCCACCUCUCAUAUCUUCUUCAGGAUCUAGUAUGGACCAACAAAACGUGGCAUUAACUUUCGAGACUUCAAGGCUCGACCAACACUGAUUACUUGGGUAACUCUCAAAAACACAUAGUCCCCCUCUUGGAACUCAAAUGCCUUUCUCCUCUUAUCAUGGUAACUCUUUUGGCGACUCUGCAAAACUUUCAUCUUCUCUUGAAUCAUCUUGAUCUUCUCAGAAGUUUGUUGCAUAAUCUCAGGUCCAAUUACUGCACUCUCACUAGAUUCCUACCAACACAUAGGUGUCCUACACCUUCUACCAUACAACGCCUCAAACGGGAUCAUCCCAAUAGUUGAAUGGAAAUUGUUAUUGUAAGUGAACUCAAUCAACGACAAGUAUAUAUCCCAAACACUUCCUCAUUCUAGCACACAAACCCUUAACAGAUCCUUCAAGGAUUGGAUAGACCUAUCUGUUUUCCCAUAAGUUCGCGGGUGAUUAGUGGAACUCAACUUCAGCUUAGUAUCUAAGGCUUCUUGUAAACUCUGUCAAAACCUUGAUGUAAACUUCAGAUCUCUAUUUGAUACAAUGCUUGAUGGAAUACCAUGCAAAUUAACGAUCUUGUCAAUAUUAAACUCAGCUAACUUCUACAAGGUAUAGUUAAUCUCAUUUAGUCAUCCUAUCAACAACCACCCAAAUAGAAUCAAUUCCCUUUGUCGUCUUCGGUAAACUUGUUAUGAAAUCUAUAGAAAUGAUAUCUCACUUCCAUUAUGGAAUACUCAAAUGUUGCAUCAGACUUGACGAUUUCUGAUGUUCAAUCUUCGACUUUUGACAAGUCAAACAAGCAUAGACAAAUUCAGCUACUUCAUUUUUUUCAUUCCUAACCACCAAAAUAAUUUCUUUAAGACAUGACCACCAAAAACUUUUUAUAAAUUCUUCAAAAUAAUUAAUAAAAAUAAUUUACAAAAUAUAAAAAAACAAUUUAAAUUUAUUUUAUUUUUUGUUAUAAAAAUAACUUAUACAAAUUUAUUUAUAAACAUUUAUUUCAAUAAGUAUUUAUGCCAUAACUGUAUAUCCAAAUAGGAUCAAUAUCUUGAACAACAUUACAUAUAGUAAAAUAAAAAACAUGCAAAUAAGAUAUCAACUUGUUUCAAUAAGUUUAGAAUUCUCAACUUGUGCAUUGUGCAUAUGAUAUACUACACUAACUAGCUUUUCCGUGGUGAGUUUGUUAUCAUGAAUAGUUAUCUAAACCUUUUGGACUAAAAUGAUUUGACUAUCAUUAUCAUGAGACAAAAACCAAGAACAGCCACCAUUCUUGCAUGGGCUCCACUUUCCCACUACUUUCCACCUAAGAAAAAAUAAAGGAAACAACCACCUUCUUCCAUUAAAUUAUUCAAAUCUGACUCAUUCUCAUCUCACCCUCCACAUACCACAUCCAUCUUCAUUCUUUUCUCUCCUAUAUAUCACCCAACUCUCUCCAAUCUUCAUAAUAAAUCUCUCAUCUCUCUCUUUCUCUCUCCAUAUCACCAAAACAACACUCAAUUUAAAACAUUUAUUAGCCAUUCCUUUAAAAAAAAUUAUUUGCCAUUAAAAAGUGCAAAAAAUAAUGGGAAAUUGUUUGAAGGGCCAAUCAUCAACCAAAUACGCGACGGACGACGAAGAUGACUGGGAUUUUCCGGCAUCCAAAGGCGACUAUGUGACCAAAAACAACGCUAUCUCCGGCGCCAAAACCACGACCGAGGUAAAGAUCAAGAUCACCAAGAAACAAUUAGAAGAGUUGCUUAGAAAAGUUGACAUAAGAGAAUUGAGGGUAGACCAAGUUUUGGUCCAAUUGAUGAACCAUAGUAAUGGCUAUAAAUCACUUGAGAGAUCUUGGAGACCUGCACUUCAGAGCAUCCCUGAAAUGGAUUGAACUUGGCUUAGUUUAGUUUAGGUUUAUGGAGUUGAUGAGGAUGAGUAUUGGCUUAUUGGGUCAAUCUUGCUUUUUUGUUUUCACGGAAAAAAUUGAUGAUUUUGGAUGAGGAAUUUGAGGGUAUAGUUUACAUUUUCUUUUUCUUUGUACAUACAAAAGGAAACAGAUUUCAUGUAAUCACACAUUUACAUAGUAUAGAUCUUCAUCCAAUUUCAUUAAAUAUAUAUAAGUAAAGUUAUAUUUGCUUUGUCACGAAUUUGGAGUCAUUUACUUUGGGUUUUGUUAAUGGUGGAAUUCCAAGGUGGACCACGGUCAUCUAUACAUGAUUUAUGAAUAUUCAUAUAUUUAUUAAAUAAAAUAAUAAAUCAGUGACAUAAUAGUUUUUUUUUAUUGUUGCUAUGUUUGGGGCUCUAACA